Molecule: unclassified non-coding RNA, 348 nt
Filed under: soil metagenome
Description: partial contains 5.8S ribosomal RNA, internal transcribed spacer 2, and large subunit ribosomal RNA
Rfam family: 5.8S ribosomal RNA (bases 1-120)
Source: RNAcentral
GAUGAAGAACGUAGCGAAAUGCGAUAAGUAAUGUGAAUUGCAGAAUUCAGUGAAUCAUCGAGUCUUUGAACGCACAUUGCGCCCCCUGGUAUUCCGGGGGGCAUGCCUGUCCGAGCGUCAUUGCUGCCCUCAAGCACGGCUUGUGUGUUGGGCCCCCGUCCCCGGUUUCCCCCGGGGACGGGCCCGAAAGGCAGCGGCGGCACCGCGUCCGGUCCUCGAGCGUAUGGGGCUUUGUCCCCCGCUCUGUAGGCCCGGCCGGCGCCAGCCGACACCCAACUUUAUUUCUAAGGUUGACCUCGGAUCAGGUAGGGAUACCCGCUGAACUUAAGCAUAUCAAUAAGCGGAGGA